AGUAAAUAGAAGCUCCCUAGGCUGGACUGGGGCGGGCGCGCCAGCCAUGAGGACAGCACAAGCAAAGUCCAUUUUCAGACUCAGCGCCUGCCUCCCAAGUCUCGCCUGUCAGGCUGGAGAGUCCCUCCCGGGGAUCCCUGGGAUUUAGCACAGUGCCUGGCAUAUCGUAGAUGGGGAAACAGAGGCUCAGAGAAGUCCAGUCAUUUGCCUUGUUGGGAAGCAGCCGCGCUGAGAGGUCACCAUCAUUAUCUUCCUUUCAUUUGGAAGAAACUGGGGCGCUGAGUGCCGAUGUGAUUUCCACCAAGUUACGCGAGAAGGUGCUCUGGGACUUGCCCUGCUGUCGACUUCCCAUUUUCUAAGCAGAAGACAGAAAUAGACCACGGAAGGCACCAAGGAGACCCAGACGUGCCUACAGCCCCUGGGAAAAGCUCUGGGAAGUCAGCACCUUACCAGACACAGGUCUCUAUCUUUUUUUCCAUGCCCACCCAUCUACCUGUGAUUUACUGAGGGUG
This 512-nucleotide long non-coding RNA is filed under the name Mustela putorius furo (domestic ferret). RNAcentral's name for it is "lncRNA (ENSMPUG00000029406.1)". The record is from RNAcentral. Lineage: Eukaryota; Metazoa; Chordata; Mammalia; Carnivora; Mustelidae.